Molecule: ribosomal RNA, 445 nt
Filed under: uncultured bacterium
Lineage: Bacteria
Description: partial 16S ribosomal RNA
Rfam family: Bacterial small subunit ribosomal RNA
Source: RNAcentral
GUGAGGAAUAUUGGUCAAUGGGCGCAAGCCUGAACCAGCCAUGCCGCGUGCAGGAUGACUGCCCUAUGGGUUGUAAACUGCUUUUAUACGGGAAGAAACCCCUCCACGUGUGGAGGAUUGACGGUACCGUAAGAAUAAGGAUCGGCUAACUCCGUGCCAGCAGCCGCGGUAAUACGGAGGAUCCAAGCGUUAUCCGGAAUCAUUGGGUUUAAAGGGUCCGUAGGCGGGUCUGUAAGUCAGUGGUGAAAUCUCCCGGCUCAACCGGGAAACUGCCAUUGAUACUGCAGGUCUUGAAUGUUUGUGAAGUAACUAGAAUAUGUAGUGUAGCGGUGAAAUGCUUAGAUAUUACAUGGAAUACCGAUUGCGAAGGCAGGUUACUAACAAAUGAUUGACGCUGAUGGACGAAAGCGUGGGGAGCGAACAGGAUUAGAAACCCUAGUAGUCC